This 253-nucleotide ribosomal RNA is filed under the name uncultured bacterium. RNAcentral describes it as "partial 16S ribosomal RNA". It matches the Rfam family "Bacterial small subunit ribosomal RNA", at positions 524 to 776 of the family's 1533-position model. The record is from RNAcentral.
UACGAAGGGGGCUAGCGUUGCUCGGAAUCACUGGGCGUAAAGGGUGCGUAGGCGGGUCUUUAAGUCAGGGGUGAAAUCCUGGAGCUCAACUCCAGAACUGCCUUUGAUACUGAGGAUCUUGAGUUCGGGAGAGGUGAGUGGAACUGCGAGUGUAGAGGUGAAAUUCGUAGAGAUCAUGAGGAAGACCAGUGGCGAAGGCGGGUCUCUGGACAGUUCCUGACACUGAGACACGAAGGCCAGGGGAGCAAACGGG